ACGGCUCAGUAACACGUGGACAACCUACCCUAAGGAGGGGGAUAACCCCGGGAAACUGGGGAUAAUACCCCAUAGACUACAGGAGCUGGAAUGCUCUCAAGUCCAAAGGUCCGCCGCCUUAGGAUGGGUCUGCGGUCCCCAGGUUGUUGUUGGGGUAACGGCCCAACAAGCCCGUGAUCGAUACGGGUUGUGAGAGCAAGAGCCCGGAGAUGGAUUCUGAGACACGAAUCCAGGCCCUACGGGGCGCAGCAGGCGCGAAAACUUUACAAUGCGGGAAACCGUGAUAAGGGAACCCCGAGUGCCCGUAAAUUCGGGCUGUCCAUCAGCGUAAAUAACUGGUGAAGAAAGGGCCGGGCAAGACCGGUGCCAGCCGCCGCGGUAAUACCGGCGGCUCGAGUGGUGGCCACUAUUAUUGGGCUUAAAGCGUCCGUAGCUUGGUUGUUAAGUCUCUUGGGAAAUCUACCGGCUCAACCGGUAGGCGUUCAGGAGAUACUGGCAAUCUAGGGACCGGGAGAGGUGAGAGGUACUCCAGGGGUAGGAGUGAAAUCCUGUAAUCCUUGGGGGACCACCUGUGGCGAAGGCGUCUCACUAGAACGGCUCCGACAGUGAGGGACGAAAGCUGGGGGAGCAAACCGGAUUAGAUACCCGGGUAGUCCCAGCUGUAAACGAUGCGCGUUAGGUGUAUCGGUGACCACGAGUCACCGAGGUGCCGAAGGGAAACCGUGAAACGUGCCGCCUGGGAAGUACGGUCGCAAGGCUGAAACUUAAAGGAAUUGGCGGGGGAGCAC
RNAcentral lists this ribosomal RNA (788 nucleotides) under uncultured Methanomicrobiales archaeon. RNAcentral's name for it is "bacterial SSU rRNA". It matches the Rfam family "Archaeal small subunit ribosomal RNA", at positions 85 to 879 of the family's 1478-position model. The record is from RNAcentral. Lineage: Archaea; Methanobacteriati; Methanobacteriota; Methanomicrobia; Methanomicrobiales.